Alligator mississippiensis (American alligator) is the source of this 1526-nucleotide long non-coding RNA. RefSeq lists it as uncharacterized. The transcript has 3 exons. The record is from RefSeq and is a predicted model, not a curated record. Lineage: Eukaryota; Metazoa; Chordata; Crocodylia; Alligatoridae.
CGUGGUGUGGCAGGAAAAUUGUAACCUGGACUCUUGCACUCUCUUACAUAAUGAUCUUUUCCAUUUCUCAGUCUAGGUCAAAAUGCAUGAAGAAUGGGCCACAAUACAGAACGAAGACAAACACCUGCUAGAGGCAGAAAGCAGCUGGGAGAGACAGAGCCUAAGACAGAAAACACUAUGAUUAUCAUAUCUCUCAGUCAACUUACCCAUUAUCCAGACCCAAAUACCAGCAGGACAUGAGGAUCAAAGCAAACCACUGAGGAGGCAGCUGUAUUAUAAGAGAACUGCUUGCUAGAUGCAGCAAACAUUUCAUAAAUUCCUCUCCUUGAAGCAAGUCUGCACAUAAUCUACCCAGAGCCAGGACAAUCAAUGGAUUUCUGAAUUCAUUAGUCUUAUUAUUACAGGAUAACUGUUUUCUCUUCAUAGAGGGGUGGUUGUUGCAAGCCAGCUUGCAAAACAGCUCUUAAUGCUGACCAUUUCUUUCUGGUAAUGCUUUUGCAUUUUUGCUGUGCCACAGCAUGAAAAUGAUUUAAAUCACUUCUACACAGUAUGUUUUUUCUAAAGACUUGGAAUAAACCAACUGACAUAUAUUCAAGUAGGAAGCACUGAAAUAUACUAAAUUCUUCCAGCCAUAAUUACUGCCUACCUACUCAUAUGCUUCCAUGCAUCAAUAUACUGACCAAAUAUUUUCUGGGCUCAAUAACAGCAAAUCAUAAUACUGGAAGCAGAGAUUAUAUCAUUGUACUAGCAUCAUAACACACAGACUAAAAUUACUGUUGUAAAAGAAGGUGCUAAAGAAGAAACAGAUUUCUACCUGCUUUGUGCUGCAUGUGUUGUCUGGAAUUAAAAAUAAGAAUUAUUUUGAUCAAUAAGGCAACAGGUACUUUUAAUUUCUCAUCUUCUUAAAAACUUAAAACAAUACUUCAAAGUAUUUUGUGGAAGUGACACUCAAUUGGUUCAUUGUUUAGUGUUUGCUCUUUGCAAGCUUUAACUAUAAUUCCUUAAAGUUUAGAACCUCAUAAUCUUUAAAGGAGACUGAAAGCAUAAUUCGGAAAAUGUGGCAGAUGAUAAAUUUCACCACAGUGCAAUGCUGUGUAACAAACAUAUGCAACACAAGGAAAAGGGAAUAUAAUUUCUCACUCAUGUCAGAUUAGGGGACAAUUAUCAGACAGAACUGGGAAAGGAGCCUUUGAUUUACUGAGCAAAACCCUUUAAAUAUUUAGAACUAGAUUCUUGUAUAGUUCCUUUGUAUUGUAUCGUCAGCAUGAACAGGCUCUGAACACACAUAUUAAUGGCCUAAGAAGAGCUAAGUAGCCAAGAAGAUGUUUACAUCAGAUUCAGAUAGUAUAAGGACUCUCCUUUUCUGCCAUGGUAUACAGGGAAAAGGGAUGAUGGUCAGGGAUAAAGAAAAUAAACAAGGUGGCACUAUUCUACAGUAAGAAUACUGGAUUUUGUCCCUUGGGGUUAUUUACAGCCAGUUAGAAUUAAUGUCGCCGUCACGCUGCUCCAACCCAGCAGAGGCAAAC